This 493-nucleotide long non-coding RNA is filed under the name Zostera marina. Its description in RNAcentral is "long non-coding RNA (ZMAR_LNC001510)". The record is from RNAcentral. Lineage: Eukaryota; Viridiplantae; Streptophyta; Magnoliopsida; Alismatales; Zosteraceae.
CUUUUUCCGGACACAGGCUAGAGAUCACUUCCCACACCUCCUUCUCCACUGGCCUCCGCGCCAUCCAAAGAUUCAUCUCCUCUGCCACUAGUUUCGGGAACCAUCUCAGAGGGUUUUCGGUGCUACUAUUCAAAGAAUGUCUUUCACGAAACAAUUCUUUAAAAUAAGCAACUCCUUCCUUCUCCAAUUGAUCCCUUGUUACUAAUGGAUUCCCUUGAUCAUCUAAGUUACACAACAUAGAAUUCCUCAGGCUCCGGUCCUUGGUUUUCUGGCUAAAAAAUCUAGUGUUAGAGUCACCCAACUUCAGCCAAUUCACUCUUGAACAUUGCCUAAGCUCUAGUUCCUCCCUUUCAAGCAGAUCCCGAAGUGUUAACUUCUCUUCAACCAGCUUUUGUUGUAACUCGUGGCUAUCUGGGUCCUCUGUUAAUUUCAAAACAUUCUCUCCUAUUGAUUUUCUGAUGAAUUCGAUUUGGUUUUUCAAUGAAGCCUGCCC